GGCUCAGAACGAACGCUGUCGGCAUGCCUAACACAUGCAAGUCGUACGAGAAAGCUUCUUCGGAAGUGAUUAGAGUGGCGCACGGGUGAGUAACACGUAGGUGAUCUACCAUUUGGCGGGGGAUAACCAGAAGAAAUUCUGGCUAAUACCGCAUACGUACUGCAAUUUUGAAAGUAGCAGUAGAAAGAGUGCCUCUCCUUGGAAGCACUUACCAAAUGAUGAGCCUGCGUAGCAUUAGUUUGAUGGUGGGGUAAUGGCUUACCAUGACUACGAUGCUUAGCUGGUCUGAGAGGAUGAUCAGUCACACUGGAACUGAGACACGGUCCAGACUCCUACGGGAGGCAGCAGUGGGGAAUAUUGCGCAAUGGGGGAAACCCUGACGCAGCAAUGCCGAGUGAGUGAGGAAGGCCUUCGGGUUGUAAAGCUCUGUCAGAAGGGAAUAAUGGUAUAGGGUCCAAUAGGCCUUAUAUUUGAAGGUACCUUCAAAGGAAGCACCGGCUAACUUCGUGCCAGCAGCCGCGGUAAUACGAAGGGUGCAAGCGUUGUUCGGAUUUAUUGGGCGUAAAGCGCGCGCAGGCGGAUUGUUAAGUCAGAUGUGAAAUCUCGGGGCUCAACCCCGAAACUGCGUCUGAAACUGAUAAUCUAGAAUCUCGGAGAGGGAAGGGGAAUUUCGCAUGUAGGGGUAAAAUCCGUAGAGAUGCGAAGGAACACCAGAGGCGAAGGCGCCUUCCUGGACGAGUAUUGACGCUGAGGCGCGAAAGCGUGGGUAGCAAACAGGAUUAGAUACCCUGGUAGUCCACGCCGUAAACGAUGUGCACUAGAUAUUGGAGGUUUGACCCCUUCAGUGUCGUAGCUAACGCAUUAAG
Molecule: ribosomal RNA, 866 nt
Filed under: Bacteriovorax sp. 16SFG3
Lineage: Bacteria; Pseudomonadati; Bdellovibrionota; Bacteriovoracia; Bacteriovoracales; Bacteriovoracaceae
Description: bacterial SSU rRNA
Rfam family: Bacterial small subunit ribosomal RNA
Source: RNAcentral